Molecule: ribosomal RNA, 478 nt
Filed under: uncultured bacterium
Lineage: Bacteria
Description: bacterial SSU rRNA
Rfam family: Bacterial small subunit ribosomal RNA
Source: RNAcentral
UUUCGCAAUGCCCGAAAGGGUGACGAAGCGACGCCGCGUGGGUGAGGAAGGCCUUCGGGUUGUAAAGCCCUGUCAGGAGUUAAGAAAUGUAGAUACGCUAAUAUCGUAUCUAUUUGACAAAGGCUCCGAAGGAAGCCACGGCUAACUCUGUGCCAGCAGCCGCGGUAAUACAGAGGUGGCAAGCGUUGUUCGGAAUUAUUGGGCGUAAAGAGCACGUAGGUGGAUUUGUAAGUCAGACGUGAAAGCCUUCUGUUCAACGGGAGAAUUGCAUCUGAAACUGCAAACCUUGAGUAUAGGAGGGGAGAAUGGAACUUCUGGUGGAGCGGUGAAAUGCGUAGAUAUCAGAAGGAACGCCGGCGGCGAAAGCGAUUCUCUGGCCUAUUACUGACACUCAGUGUGCGAAAGCUAGGGGAGCAAACGGGAUUAGAUACCCCGGUAGUCCUAGCCGUAAACGAUGGGCACUAAGUAGAGGGGUUUU